AUGCUCUGUCUUCCUGGAGAAAGAUCCACACCAACCGCUCUCCAUACACUCACUGUGCGAAGGCAGGAGCGGGGACCACUGUCCGCUCACUGCUGGGACACCGGUUCGGAGCCCAGGCUCAGGGCAGGAGCGGGGACCACUGUCAGCUCACUGCUGGGACACCAGUUCGGAGCCCAGGCUCGGCGGGCAGGAGUGGGGACCACUGUCAGCUCACUGCUGGGACACUGGUUCAGAGCCCAGGCUCAGGGCAGGAGCGGGGACCACUGUCAGCUCACUGCUGGGACACUGGUUCGGAGCCCAGGCUCGGCGGGCAGGGGCGGGGACCACUGUCAGCUCACUGCUGGGACACCGGUUCGGAGCCCAGGCUCGGGGCAGGAGCGGGGACCACUGUCAGCUCACUGCUGGGACACCGGUUCGGAGCCCAGGCUCGGCGGGCAGGGGCGGGGACCACUGUCAGCUCACUGCUGGGACACUGGUUCAGAGCCCAGGCUCGGGGCAGGAGCGGGGACCACUGUCAGCUCACUGCUGGGACACCGGUUCAGAGCCCAGGCUCGGCGGGCAGGAGCGGGGACCACUGUCAGCUCACUGCUGGGACACUGGUUCGGAGCCCAGGCUCGGCGGGCAGGGGCGGGGACCACUGUCAGCUCACUGCUGGGACACUGGUUCAGAGCCCAGGCUCGGGGCAGGAGCGGGGACCACUGUCAGCUCACUGCUGGGACACCGGUUCAGAGCCCAGGCUCGGCGGGCAGGAGCGGGGACCACUGUCAGCUCACUGCUGGGACACUGGUUCGGAGCCCAGGCUCGGCGGGCAGGGGCGGGGACCACUGUCAGCUCACUGCUGGGACACUGGUUCGGAGCCCAGGCUCGGCGGGCAGGGGCGGGGACCACUGUCAGCUCACUGCUGGGACACUGGUUCGGAGCCCAGGCUCAGGGCAGGAGCGGGGACCACUGUCAGCUCACUGCUGGGACACUGGUUCGGAGCCCAGGCUCGGCGGGCAGGGGCGGGAACCACUGUCAGCUCACUGCUGGGACACUGAUUCGGAGCCCAGGCUCGGCGGGCAGGGGCGGGGACCACUGUCAGCUCACUGCUGGGACACUGGUUCGGAGCCCAGGCUCAGGGCAGGAGCGGGGACCACUGUCAGCUCACUGCUGGGGACACCUACCUGCCGUGUUGGAAUGCCUGGGUUCAAAUCCUGGCUCCACUCUCCAUUCCAAAUUCCUGCUAAGGCACACCCAGGUUUCAGCAGAGAUCGGCUGAAGAAGUCAGGUUCCUUCCACCCACAUGGGAGCCCUGGAUGGAGCUCCCAGCUCCAGCCUGGCCCAGCCCUGGCUGUCGCAGGCUUUUGGGGAGUGAGCCAGCAGAUCUUCACUCUCAGAUUCUCUCCUUUGUCUACACCUUUACAUUUAAAAUAA
This 1413-nucleotide long non-coding RNA is filed under the name Oryctolagus cuniculus (rabbit). Its description in RNAcentral is "lncRNA (ENSOCUG00000034848.1)". The record is from RNAcentral. Lineage: Eukaryota; Metazoa; Chordata; Mammalia; Lagomorpha; Leporidae.